This 463-nucleotide ribosomal RNA is filed under the name Tuber beyerlei. RNAcentral's name for it is "eukaryotic LSU rRNA". The stretch from base 50 to 203 matches the Rfam family "5.8S ribosomal RNA". The record is from RNAcentral. Lineage: Eukaryota; Fungi; Ascomycota; Pezizomycetes; Pezizales; Tuberaceae.
AAACUUACUGUCUGAGAAGGCCAUGUGCCGUAAUCUUUAAACAUUUUAAAACUUUCAACAACGGAUCUCUUGGUUCUCGCAUCGAUGAAGAACGCAGCGAAAUGCGAUAAGUAAUGUGAAUUGCAGAAUUCAGUGAAUCAUCGAAUCUUUGAACGCACAUUGCGCCCUUUGGUAUUCCAUAGGGCAUGCCUGUUCGAGCGUCACUAAAAACCUCAUCACAAAGAGUGUGGUAUUGGCAGAAGUGGGUAGGGCUAGCAAGGAAGUGCUGGCCCCACUCUGCUAGAAUGAAUAGGCCGGAAAUGUAGACCAUGGUAACAGACUUUCAGAGUAUCGUCAAAUGCUAAAUUAGUUUGUAUGCUUGGUCAGAAUCUAGGCCAUUGGACCCCCAUUCUGUAUAAAGCAGUAAUGUUGACCUCGGAUCAGGUAGGGAUACCCGCUGAACUUAAGCAUAUCAAUAAGCGGA